Molecule: long non-coding RNA, 698 nt
Filed under: Homo sapiens (human)
Lineage: Eukaryota; Metazoa; Chordata; Mammalia; Primates; Hominidae
Description: HSALNT0309810
Source: RNAcentral
UCGCCUUCUGCUCAUUCUGCUCUGAAGGCAGCUGGGGAGGAGUGAGCAGGGGCAGGACCAGGUUGCACACUUCAGGCUUCAGCAGCCUUCACCGAGUCAUCGACCCUCUGAGCCCCCGACUCCUCCUGCGCAAGGGGCUGCUACGUACCUAAGGGCUAGCAGGGUGGUACCAGGACUGACCUCCAGUGUGGCACCCAGCAAGGGCUGGACAGACUCCAGAAGCUCCAUCUGGAACCCCCAGAGAGGACCAUGACCAGAAACCAGCGGAAACAAUAGAACGAGACCUUGAAGAACUUCAGGUAUUAGAUCAACUCACCUUCAUGAAGCUUGCCUGACCCCCUCACCUGAUCCCACACCUGAGAUUCCCCCCAGCUGAGCCCAUAACACCUGGCCAUACACCCUCCGGAGAACACAUCCCUCUGUGUCCAUUCCACCUGGCUGUACACCCUCCAGAGGGCAUGCCCCUCUGUGCCCAUUACACCUGGCCAUGCACCCGCUGGAGGGCACGACUCUCUGAACCCAUACCUGGCCAUACACCCUCCGAGGGCAUGCUCCUCUGAGCCCAUUACACCUGGUCAUACACACUCUGGAGGGCAUGACUCUGUGAACCCAUACCUGGCCAUACACCCUCCAGAGGGCAUGCCCCUCUGUGUGCAUUACACCUGUCUGUACACCCUCCGAGGGCAUGCUCCUCUGAG